Molecule: ribosomal RNA, 494 nt
Filed under: uncultured bacterium
Lineage: Bacteria
Description: partial 16S ribosomal RNA
Rfam family: Bacterial small subunit ribosomal RNA
Source: RNAcentral
GACGAACGCUGGCGGCGUGCUUAACACAUGCAAGUCGAACGGUGAAGCGCCUUCCUUUUUGGUGGGUGUGGAUGAGUGGCGAACGGGUGAGUAACACGUGAGUAACCUGCCCCCUUCUUCUGGAUAACCGCAUGAAAGUGUGGCUAAUACGGGAUAUUCUGGGUCUGUCGCAUGAUGGGUCUGGGAAAGAUAUUGUUUCGGUGGGGGAUGGGCUCGCGGCCUAUCAGCUUGUUGGUGGGGUGUUGGCCUACCAAGGCGGUGACGGGUAGCCGGCCUGAGAGGGUGGACGGUCACACUGGGACUGAGACACGGCCCAGACUCCUACGGGAGGCAGCAGUGGGGAAUAUUGCACAAUGGGCGCAAGCCUGAUGCAGCGACGCCGCGUGAGGGAUGGAGGCCUUCGGGUUGUGAACCUCUUUCGCCAGUGAAGCAGGCCUGCCUCGUUUGUGGGUGGGUUGACGGUAGCUGGAUAAGAAGCGCCGGCUAACUACGUG